CAAUGUAAUUCCUCCUCUAUUCUAUAUGUCACCAGUUUCCUACCUGCCAGCCACCAUCCAGACUGCCUCCUUGGCCCCAACCAUCUCCUUGGAACUCACCCUGUUACCCCACUGCCCUGGCUGCCUCUAAGGAAGAAAGGGAAAGGGGAGAAGGAGGAGCAUCAAGCCUCGUCUUCCAGACAUUCCUGAGGAAAACUUGAGUGAGGAGUCUUCAUCAAGGAGUUCCACCCCUAGUCUAACACUCCUGGAAGAGGCUGAUUUGUGUCAAAAGCUCAUGAUGAAC
Molecule: long non-coding RNA, 283 nt
Organism: Sciurus carolinensis (gray squirrel)
Lineage: Eukaryota; Metazoa; Chordata; Mammalia; Rodentia; Sciuridae
Exons: 3
Source: RefSeq, a predicted model, not a curated record